This 900-nucleotide ribosomal RNA is filed under the name Nigrograna sp. RNAcentral describes it as "SSU rRNA". It matches the Rfam family "Eukaryotic small subunit ribosomal RNA", at positions 62 to 963 of the family's 1831-position model. The record is from RNAcentral. Lineage: Eukaryota; Fungi; Ascomycota; Dothideomycetes; Pleosporales; Nigrogranaceae.
AGGGCGGGUCUAGUAUAGCAUUAUACCGUGAAACUGCGAAUGGCUCAUUAAAUCAGUUAUCGUUUAUUUGAUAGUACCUUACUACUUGGAUAACCGUGGUAAUUCUAGAGCUAAUACAUGCUAAAAACCCCAACUUCGGGAGGGGUGUAUUUAUUAGAUAAAAAACCAAUGCCCUUCGGGGCUCUUUGGUGAUUCAUAAUAACUUAACGGAUCGCAUGGCCUUGCGCCGGCGACGGUUCAUUCAAAUUUCUGCCCUAUCAACUUUCGAUGGUAAGGUAUUGGCUUACCAUGGUUUCAACGGGUAACGGGGAAUUAGGGUUCGAUUCCGGAGAGGGAGCCUGAGAAACGGCUACCACAUCCAAGGAAGGCAGCAGGCGCGCAAAUUACCCAAUCCCGACACGGGGAGGUAGUGACAAUAAAUACUGAUACAGGGCUCUUUUGGGCCUUGUAAUCGGAAUGAGUACAAUUUAAACCCCUUAACGAGGAACAAUUGGAGGGCAAGUCUGGUGCCAGCAGCCGCGGUAAUUCCAGCUCCAAUAGCGUAUAUUAAAGUUGUUGCAGUUAAAAAGCUCGUAGUUGAACCUUGGGCCUGGCUGGCCGGUCCGCCUCACCGCGUGUACUGGUCCGGCCGGGCCUUUCCUUCUGGAGAUCCUCAUGCCCUUCACUGGGUGUGUUGGGGAACCAGGACUUUUACUGUGAACAAAUUAGAGUGUUCAAAGCAGGCCUUUGCUCGAAUACAUUAGCAUGGAAUAAUAGAAUAGGACGUGCGGUCCUAUUUUGUUGGUUUCUAGGACCGCCGUAAUGAUUAAUAGGGAUAGUCGGGGGCAUCAGUAUUCAAUUGUCAGAGGUGAAAUUCUUGGAUUUAUUGAAGACUAACUACUGCGAAAGCAUUUGCCAAGG